GCUGGCGGCAGGCCUAACACAUGCAAGUCGAGCGCGCCUUCGGGUGAGCGGCGGACGGGUUAGUAACGCGUGGGAACGUGCCCUUCUCUACGGAAUAGCCUCUGGAAACGGAGAGUAAUACCGUAUACGCCCUUUGGGGGAAAGAUUUAUCGGAGAAGGAUCGGCCCGCGUUAGAUUAGGUAGUUGGUGGGGUAACGGCCUACCAAGCCUACGAUCUAUAGCUGGUUUUAGAGGAUGAUCAGCAACACUGGGACUGAGACACGGCCCAGACUCCUACGGGAGGCAGCAGUGGGGAAUCUUAGACAAUGGGGGCAACCCUGAUCUAGCCAUGCCGCGUGAGUGAUGAAGGCCUUAGGGUCGUAAAGCUCUUUCGCCUGUGAUGAUAAUGACAGUAGCAGGUAAAGAAACCCCGGCUAACUCCGUGCCAGCAGCCGCGGUAAUACGGAGGGGGUUAGCGUUGUUCGGAAU
RNAcentral lists this ribosomal RNA (468 nucleotides) under uncultured Leisingera sp. RNAcentral describes it as "bacterial SSU rRNA". It matches the Rfam family "Bacterial small subunit ribosomal RNA", at positions 35 to 551 of the family's 1533-position model. The record is from RNAcentral. Lineage: Bacteria; Pseudomonadati; Pseudomonadota; Alphaproteobacteria; Rhodobacterales; Roseobacteraceae.